RNAcentral lists this ribosomal RNA (407 nucleotides) under uncultured bacterium. RNAcentral describes it as "partial 16S ribosomal RNA". It matches the Rfam family "Bacterial small subunit ribosomal RNA", at positions 30 to 526 of the family's 1533-position model. The record is from RNAcentral.
AUUGAACGCUGGCGGCAGGCCUAACACAUGCAAGUCGAGCGGAGCGGCGGACGGGUGAGGAAUGCCUAGGAAUCUGCCUGGGCGUGGGGGAUACCGUCCGGAACCGGGCGCUUAUACCGCAUACUAUCAGAUGAGCCUAGGGCGGAUUAGAUAGUUGGUGGGGUAAAGGCCUACCAAGGCGACGAUCACAAGCUGGUCUGAGAGGAUGAUCAGUCACACUGGAACUGAGACACGGUCCAGACUCCUACGGGAGGCAGCAGUGGGGAAUAUUGGACAAUGGGCGAAAGCCUGAUCCAGCCAUGCCGCGUGUGUGAAGAAGGUCUUCGGAUUGUAAAGCACUUUAAGUUGGGAGGCGUUACCAACAGAAUAAGCACCGGCUAACUUCGUGCCAGCCGCCGCGGUAAUAC